CUACUAACUUUGUGGAUGCUAGGAACGCCUUCAAGAAAGCAGGUUAGGGGCUCAGGUUUCCUCUGGCAUUCCAGACCCAUGGAUUUUCCAUCCUCUGGAGCUGCUGCGGGAGAUGGGAGCAUGCUUAAGCCACCUGUAUUUUGGUAUGUGGUUUCCUCAACUGUUACAGGCGGAUCCUCUCAGCACUUUUGGGAGUGAGCUGGGAUGCCAUCGGCAGGAUUUUCCCGUGAUUCCUGGAGCUGAGAGUUGCUUUGGCAUGCAAAGUUCACCUCGUGUACGUGUAUUGGAUGACAUUGGAUCCCUUCCUUCUGUGCAAGAAUCCCUGUGCUGAGCCCAGCUCUGAGCAUGUGGCUUCAGAAGGGUCAUGAGUUGCGCUUCAUGCGUGCAUUCCAUUUUCUUUGGGUCUGUUCAGAGCCAAGCUGGGUUGAACAUUCUGAGGUUGAUGAGAGGAGAUGGUCUGGCUUUUCCCUUGUGAUUGGGCAUGCUUUGGUGUUCCUGAGCAGCUAUUGCGCUCAUUAGUCCCUUGUGGCACCAUGCUGGGUUGGUUUGGGUGACUGGGCAAUGGGGUAACCCGAGGAGAAAGCGGAUCUAUUCUCCUGGAGGAUUGGCUUAAUCUCCCAGAGAUUUAUGUUCUCGUGAUCCAUUCUCAACCUGGGUUUUCCUCUCUGGAGUGCCCGUGCGAACCGGAGUUCGAAUGGCCCUGCUCCCUACUUCCGUGUUGUGGUCUGGCCUUCAAGAAGGUGAAGGCUGAGGCUGCCACUUCCAAAAGGGGCAAACCUCUUCCCAAAUACCGAGUUAGGGAUGAGGGCUUAGGGGGAAGCAGAGGCUGAGCCUGCCACUUCCUAAGGGAACAAACUCCUUCCUGAAUACCAGGAAUUGGGAAUGGUGCUGUGCGGGAUGGAGCCUUCGGGAAGGUAAGGCUGCUUUUCACCUGGGAGUUACAUAAGGUAUUCCAAAGCGCUGCAAGCUCCUGCUCUCCAGUAGGCUACAAUGGGAGCACUGGGAUCCAGCUCUGCUCUCUUCUGCUCUGCCUUUAGCCCGCAUCCCAUGUCCCUGUGGCUGUGGCACUUGGAUGGCAGCUUUGGAGCUGCCUGGCCCCCUGGUUGGAAGGUGCCGUGAGCCCAACAGCUGGGAGCAGUUAGAAAAAGAUCCAGCUUCCAGAACCUGGCAUGUAGCUGCAGCGGAAUUCCUCCCCUGCCUGUGUGGAGAUGGCAUCUUCCUGAAUUUGAGCAAAACACUGUGCCCAUCUUUGGGGCAUCUGGGUGCGUCUCUGAGGUGGGAGCAUGUCUGCCUCCAUCUUCUGGGAUGAAACAUCCCAGUGGGGUCUAGAUCCAGGGUUAAAUCCUAGCGUGGGAGGAGGCUGUGCAGCUGCUGUGGGACUUCUCUCUGCUUUCCAUGCAUUUUGGGAUGUGCCUAGCGCCCUACACCCUGAACAAAGCAGAGAAUUCCCAAAUCCUGGAAGUGGCAGAUUCUUGCAAGGCAUUUUGUGGCAGGGUUCCAUAUCCCACUUCCUGCAGCCCAUGCUAGUCAUUGUCCCAGAGCGGAGCUGGACCUGUUCCCUCUACCAGCCUUGGGUGCAGAUGUUGCUGGUCUGGGUACAUUUUCCCCAUUGGCUGACAAUCCUCUAACAGGAUGGUUCUGCCAGGAUUCCAGAUGCCACAGUAGAUGAUUGCCCUCGCUCACAGCAUCCAGAAUCUUCACUGCGUGCAGUGUCCGGUUGGCAAGUGUUCUGUUGCUUCCCCUCAGCCUGGCCACUGCGCAGAUGCCACCAGUGCUGUACUGGAUCUAUUUCCCAUUCUAUGUCCCAGUGCAACCGGGGAAUGGGUCUGUUUCGUUGUCCAGACUCAGUCAUCUCCAUUUGGAUUUUCCAGCCCCUCCUGUGUCCCCGAUUCCUUUGCGUUUUGGCUUUCCCCAAUGCGUUGCUGAUGCCCAAUGGCCGUUUUCCAGCCAGUGUUGGGUUCUUCAGAGCCUCCUGUUGGUUUCAGCGGCUCCGCUUCCAUGUCAGCCCUGGGUUGGUGCUGUGGACACCUGUGACCUCCCCAUCCUCACAGCUUAUGUUUCCCUUAGGGAUAUAUGCUGAGGCAUACACCUGCUGGUGGGCAAAUCUUUGCAGGAGUUAUACUGCCUCCCGUCCGCUUUGGAACUUCAACAACAAAACGUGUCCCAUUCCUCUUUUUUUCUGUCUUUAAUUUGCCAACAGAAGAGGAAAAAUAGGGUUUUGUAGAACCAAAACCAUCAUCAGGAAUAAAUGGAAGGGAUUCUGCAAUUUAAAGGGAACGUGGACGCAGUUAAAUCACAAAUUUAACCCCAAUCCAUGUCACAAUGACCAGAUCCCAAGGAUUUGUGCCCCAAAUGGCUGGGAAUGCAGCUGUGUUGCCUUGGGAGGCUGGAGGGCCGGAAAGAAGCACUGCUUUUGUGCAGGCCCCUGCCCCUUUUCCAGAGGCCGUAAACUGCUUGUUCUGAGCCAUUGAAAUCUACAUGGGCAUGGUGAGCAUGGCUGUGAGGGAGAAGGGGGAGGCCGAAGGCUCAGAGGUGGGAAUGGGGAGGCUUAGGAAGUGGUGCUGCCUUUUGGGGUAGGAAGCAGUGCUUUUGGAAGGAUUUUGGGGACAAACCCAACAGUUUUGUCUGGCUUUGGAGCUGAAUCCAGCACCCAGCAAGAAAUGGAGGCAAACAUGUGAUAGGCAGGGGCUGGGAAUGGCACCUUUGGCAAUGAUUCCUGCCUUCGGAGCAGCUUUCCCACUCCGCUUAGGUUUGUAGAGCUCUUGCCGGCUCCAGGCAUUCCUAUCCACUUGCAGGACCAGUUCAGCAUUGCUGUGAAGCUCCACAUACCCAUAGUGGAAAUCUAUGAGGUGGAGCUGGUAGACAUUGAAAACAUAAAAAAGGAGAAUGCUGUAGGGAAUGGCAUCCAGCAUCGGGGCCUCCUCUGUCUUCUGAGAAUGCCAGGCAGGAGGUGGGAGCAGUGAGAACCCUGAGCCAUCGUGGCUGGGAUAGGUAUGCUGGCUUUUGCUUCCCGCAAAAACAUUUCAGCUGCCUCCGAGGUGGCUUUGAGCCCCAAAUCCCGAGGAUGCUUCCAGGGAGUAUGAUCAGAAUGGCCUUGAGGCCACUGUUAAUGAAAGGAAAAAGUACUGUGGGCUUGCAUGGGCAUUUGGGAAGUGCAAUUGGAGCCAUCCAAGAAGAAACUGCUGCUACUUCUAGAGGCAGCCAAGCUUUCUGACUGCCCAGAGUGUCGGCAUUGCCUCCAUUGGUGCUGCUCCUGCCCCUGUGGCUCCAGAUUCUGACUGGGGUGUGGUUUUUGUACUCUUGGGAGUAAACCAGGUUCAUUUUAAAGGCACCUGGCACUGCCUCAGCGUUGCAGAUCCUCAGCUGUGUGGUGUCCCCUUCUCCAGGUGCUGUGGGGGUGAGGACCAGCUCCUUGGUUCUUUUGCAGGUGCUGGAGAAGAGCAUCGAGGUGGUGGAGGUCAAGGUCAGAGUGGGAGCUGCUGGAGGGGCUGGUGAGCCACCAGGACGCAGGGCUGAAGGAGGAUCUGCACUGUCAUGACCAGCCACCUCCAGCUCAGCACAGGAAUGCCUGUGAGGAAGCUUCCAGUGGAAGGUGGACAAGGAGCAGGAGGUGGUGGUGCUGAGUGGGGAGCUCAAGAGCCUCAGAUCAAAGAGAUAGUGGGAAGGCACAUGAAGGGGAUGCUGAGAAG
This is an RNA transcript of Cuculus canorus (common cuckoo), 3689 nucleotides long. It is a transcript of the gene named SUN domain-containing protein 2-like, with no coding region annotated. Lineage: Eukaryota; Metazoa; Chordata; Aves; Cuculiformes; Cuculidae. The transcript is spliced from 3 exons. The record is from RefSeq and is a predicted model, not a curated record.